Molecule: ribosomal RNA, 428 nt
Filed under: bacterium
Lineage: Bacteria
Description: partial 16S ribosomal RNA
Rfam family: Bacterial small subunit ribosomal RNA
Source: RNAcentral
UGGGGAAUUUUGGACAAUGGGCGAAAGCCUGAUCCAGCAAUGCCGCGUGUGUGAAGAAGGCCUUCGGGUUGUAAAGCACUUUUGUCCGGAAAGAAAUGGCUCUGGUUAAUACCUGGGGUCGAUGACGGUACCGGAAGAAUAAGGACCGGCUAACUACGUGCCAGCAGCCGCGGUAAUACGUAGGGUCCAAGCGUUAAUCGGAAUUACUGGGCGUAAAGCGUGCGCAGGCGGUUGUGCAAGACCGAUGUGAAAUCCCCGAGCUUAACUUGGGAAUUGCAUUGGUGACUGCACGGCUAGAGUGUGUCAGAGGGGGUAGAAUUCCACGUGUAGCAGUGAAAUGCGUAGAGAUGUGGAGGAAUACCGAUGGCGAAGGCAGCCCCCUGGGAUAACACUGACGCUCAUGCACGAAAGCGUGGGGAGCAAACAGG